RNAcentral lists this ribosomal RNA (329 nucleotides) under Cylindrospermopsis raciborskii S01. RNAcentral describes it as "bacterial LSU rRNA". It matches the Rfam family "Bacterial large subunit ribosomal RNA", at positions 218 to 553 of the family's 2925-position model. Lineage: Bacteria; Bacillati; Cyanobacteriota; Cyanophyceae; Nostocales; Aphanizomenonaceae. The record is from RNAcentral.
AAAGAAAUCAAAAGAGAUUCCCCGAGUAGUGGUGAGCGAAAGGGGAAGAGCCUAAACCAAGGGGUAUACCUCUUGGGGUAGUGGGACAGCAACAUCGAAUCCAGAGACUAGACGAAGCAGCUAAAUACUGCACCAGAGGGGGUGAAAGUCCUGUAGUCGAAAGUUAAAGGAUAGAAGCUGAAUCCCGAGUAGUACGGGGCACGAGAAAUCCCGUAUGAAUCAGCGAGGACCAUCUCGUAAGGCUAAAUACUACUGUGUGACCGAUAGAGAACAAGUACCGCGAGGGAAAGGUGAAAAGAACCCCGGGAGGGGAGUGAAAAAGAACAUGA